This 400-nucleotide ribosomal RNA is filed under the name uncultured bacterium. Its description in RNAcentral is "bacterial SSU rRNA". It matches the Rfam family "Bacterial small subunit ribosomal RNA", at positions 356 to 773 of the family's 1533-position model. The record is from RNAcentral.
GGGGGAUAUUGCACAAUGGGGGAAACCCUGAUGCAGCGACGCCGCGUGAGGGAAGACGGUCUUCUGGAUUGUAAACCUCUGUCUUCGGGGACGAUAAUGACGGUACCCGAGGAGGAAGCCACGGCUAACUACGUGCCAGCAGCCGCGGUAAUACGUAGGUGGCGAGCGUUGUCCGGAAUUACUGGGUGUAAAGGGAGCGUAGGCGGGAAGGCAAGUUGAAUGUUAAAUCUAUCGGCUCAACCGGUAGCUGCGUUCAAAACUGUUUUUCUUGAGUGAAGUAGAGGCAGGCGGAAUUCCUAGUGUAGCGGUGAAAUGCGUAGAUAUUAGGAGGAACACCAGUGGCGAAGGCGGCCUGCUGGGCUUUUACUGACGCUGAGGCUCGAAAGUGUGGGGAGCAAAC